AUCUUUGCGCUUGGGGCAAUGACGCAGCUAAUGAGGUUCUAACCGAGGCGCGUCUAUUGCUGGUUGAAAACUAUUUCCAAACCCCCUCCUGGGCUUGGGUUCUGCCUAAGCCCUCGAGAAUUUCUGGAAGGGCUCCCUUUUACUAGGGUAAAGCC
Molecule: small nuclear RNA, 155 nt
Filed under: Erythranthe guttata (spotted monkey flower)
Lineage: Eukaryota; Viridiplantae; Streptophyta; Magnoliopsida; Lamiales; Phrymaceae
Description: Mimulus guttatus (spotted monkey flower) U4 spliceosomal RNA
Rfam family: U4 spliceosomal RNA (bases 1-138)
About the family: U4 small nuclear RNA (U4 snRNA) is a component of the major U2-dependent spliceosome. The structure of U4 snRNA from yeast and human has been reported. U4 snRNA presents a k-turn RNA motif in the 5p-SL related to recognition of Snu13 protein.
Source: Rfam by way of RNAcentral